UCCUGGCUCCACCCUUUCCCAGACCUCAUUUAAGAGUUGGCAGGGGGAGGUGAGGCUAUUUUGCUGGAGAUCCUUGUGUACUGGAGUUCUUCUGAAGUACAGACCUUGAGUCCAAUGUGCCACAAGACUGCAGUACUGCAAUGAGAACAGCACUGAAAAGAAGCACCUUCGGAAGCAGACAGUAACACAAGCCUGGGUCCUGUGUUGUUGAUCAGCUUGAAGGAGGUAAACUCAUCCUGUGUGUUACCGUUCAUCACCCCAAAGAGCCCCUGUGUGUGAUUCAUAAAAUUCUCUGGAAGCAGAACUGUCAGG
Numida meleagris (helmeted guineafowl) is the source of this 312-nucleotide long non-coding RNA. RefSeq lists it as uncharacterized. The transcript is spliced from 3 exons. Lineage: Eukaryota; Metazoa; Chordata; Aves; Galliformes; Numididae. The record is from RefSeq and is a predicted model, not a curated record.